GGCCCCAUCGUCUAAUGGUUAGGACAGCGCGCUUUCAAUGCGUAAAUCGGAGUUCGAUUCUCCGUGGGGCCG
This 72-nucleotide transfer RNA is filed under the name Candidatus Sungiibacteriota bacterium. Its description in RNAcentral is "tRNA-Glu". It matches the Rfam family "tRNA". From Rfam's summary of the family: Transfer RNA (tRNA) molecules are approximately 80 nucleotides in length. Lineage: Bacteria; Candidatus Sungiibacteriota. The record is from RNAcentral.